CCCGGUAGUGUUUCCCUCUUGGUUUAGACUUUUCUAUUUGCAAUGCAAAUGGUGCACAGACCAUGGUUCUAAUUAUUCUCUCAGUCACAGGAAUUGAAAAUAUUGAUCCACAUGAGCAACUUCGAUAGAAGGGACAUCCAAAAUUCAUGGAUGUUCCGCCUCUGGCGGCGACUUCUUCUUCCCCGUACGAGAUGUCGCAUUCAGGCUUCAUUUUCCCCUGAUUUUUUCAAUCCAUAGCCUGAAUGCAUGAGAGUGAAUUACCACACCACCAUCUUUUGCACCUCCACGAGGCAAUGAGAACAUGACAGCCUAUGAUACGACCAUUCGAGCAAAUCAGCAGAUUAGGGAAGACCACUCUGACUCCACUCAUGUUCAUCCCUCAUCAAAUUUUGCCGAAGCACAUAAACCAAGAAGCUGUACAGAAUGAUAGAAUUUUAGGAAAUAAAGAGGCAGCAUAAUAGUUUUAUAAUUGCAUGGGCAAAUUUCACCUGUAUUUCAAUUUCAUUUAUUUUGUAAAAUUCAAAGGUAGGACAUGAUCAUGAAAAGGGUAGAAGCAUCAAUUCUGCAGCAUUCAAUGGUAGUGUAAGGAUUGUUUGAUCUCAAUAACAUAGCACGGAGUUGUAAACAUUAUUGUUAGUUUAUUAUACCUUAGUGUCUAUGAAAAUAGUUCUGGUAUUGGGUAA
Molecule: long non-coding RNA, 683 nt
Organism: Panicum virgatum (switchgrass)
Lineage: Eukaryota; Viridiplantae; Streptophyta; Magnoliopsida; Poales; Poaceae
Exons: 2
Source: RefSeq, a predicted model, not a curated record